CUAGUUGUCGGGUUUUAAUUAACUUGGUAACGCAGCUAACGCGUGAAGUAGACCGCCUGGGGAGUACGGUCGCAAGAUUAAAACUCAAAGGAAUUGACGGGGACCCGCACAAGCGGUGGAUGAUGUGGAUUAAUUCGAUGCAACGCGAAAAACCUUACCUACCCUUGACAUGGAAGGAAUCCUGAAGAGAUUUGGGAGUGCCCGAAAGGGAACCUUCACACAGGUGCUGCAUGGCUGUCGUCAGCUCGUGUCGUGAGAUGUUGGGUUAAGUCCCGCAACGAGCGCAACCCUUGUCAUUAGUUGCUACGCAAGAGCACUCUAAUGAGACUGCCGGUGACAAACCGGAGGAAGGUGGGGAUGACGUCAAGUCCUCAUGGCCCUUAUGGGUAGGGCUUCACACGUCAUACAAUGGUACAUACAGAGGGCCGCCAACCCGCGAGGGGGAGCUAAUCCCAGAAAGUGUAUCGUAGUCCGGAUUGUAGUCUGCAACUCGACUACAUGAAGUUGGAAUCGCUAGUAAUCGCGGAUCAGCAUGUCGCGGUGAAUACGUUCCCGGGUCUUGUACACACCGCCCGUCACACCAUGGGAGCGGGUUUUACCA
RNAcentral lists this ribosomal RNA (601 nucleotides) under uncultured bacterium. RNAcentral's name for it is "bacterial SSU rRNA". It matches the Rfam family "Bacterial small subunit ribosomal RNA", at positions 816 to 1422 of the family's 1533-position model. The record is from RNAcentral.